AGGAAGUCACACAAGAUACAUAGAUGAAUUAGGGCUUCUAAGGCAAACAAGCUUCAAACUCUUGAUGAAUUCUUGAUCAAAAUAAAAAAUAAAAGAACAGACGUUCCAUAUAUGAUGUUUAGAAUCAAUUUGAAACUUUCCUUGAUUAAUCUCUAGCCAUGAGGAUUUCAAUCCCUAGUUGUGAGCUUAAUAGGGCACAGGUGGAUGCACACACUACCUACAAAAGAAACAAAGAUACACUAGACAUAUUUUUGGCAUAUUGGUUAGUAAAAAAGAAA
RNAcentral lists this long non-coding RNA (278 nucleotides) under Lathyrus oleraceus (garden pea). RNAcentral describes it as "Pisum sativum (pea) long non-coding RNA (PSAT_LNC038394)". The record is from RNAcentral. Lineage: Eukaryota; Viridiplantae; Streptophyta; Magnoliopsida; Fabales; Fabaceae.